This 67-nucleotide transfer RNA is filed under the name Oliarus cf. filicicola HI01081. Its description in RNAcentral is "tRNA-Ile". The record is from RNAcentral. Lineage: Eukaryota; Metazoa; Arthropoda; Insecta; Hemiptera; Cixiidae.
AAUAAGAUGCCUGACUAAAGGAAUACUCUGAUAGAGUUUAUAAAAUGAAUAAAAAUCAUUCUUAUUA